GACGAACGCUGGCGGCGUGCCUAAUACAUGCAAGUAGAACGCUGAAACUUGGUGCUUGCACCGAGCGGAUGAGUUGCGAACGGGUGAGUAACGCGUAGGUAACCUGCCUGGUAGCGGGGGAUAACUAUUGGAAACGAUAGCUAAUACCGCAUAAGAGUAGAUGUUGCAUGACAUUUGCUUAAAAGGUGCAAUUGCACCACUACCAGAUGGACCUGCGUUGUAUUAGCUAGUUGGUGGGGUAACGGCUCACCAAGGCGACGAUACAUAGCCGACCUGAGUGGGUGAUCGGCCACACUGGGACUGAGACACGGCCCAGACUCCUACGGGAGGCAGCAGUAGGGAAUCUUCGGCAAUGGACGGAAGUCUGACCGAGCAACGCCGCGUGAGUGAAGAAGGGUUUCGGAUCGUAAAGCUCUGUUGUAAGAGAAGAACGAGUGUGAGAGUGGAAAGUUCACACUGUGACGGUAGCUUACCAGAAAGGGACGGCUAACUACGUG
RNAcentral lists this ribosomal RNA (497 nucleotides) under uncultured bacterium. Its description in RNAcentral is "partial 16S ribosomal RNA". It matches the Rfam family "Bacterial small subunit ribosomal RNA", at positions 28 to 507 of the family's 1533-position model. The record is from RNAcentral.